GGCUAGUGCAAUGCCCGGAAUGUUCCCCCAUGCCGAAAUUCAUGUGUCCAAACCCUAAUCCCAAUGUGAUGAUAUUAGGAGGUGGGACAUUUGGCAGGUGAUUGGGCCAUGAGUGUGAAGUCCUCAUCAAUGGGAUUAUUGACCUUAUUAAGGAGACCCCAGAGCUCACUAGCUCUCUUUCUGGCACAUGAAAUCCAAGAAGCUGGCAGUCUGCAACCCGGAAGAGGACCCUCGCCAGGGACAGACCAUGAUGGAGCCCUGAUAUCAGACACCCAGCCACCAGAACUGUGAGAAGUAAAUUUUGGUUGUUUACAAGCCACCCAGUGAAUGGUACUUUGCCACAGCAGCCCAGACUAGGACAACAAGUAAGACUAAUAAAAGAAAGAGUCAUCUUGUGCACUCUCUGAAUUGCACCAAUUUACUUUGAAGAUGACUGGAUUCGACAACGGUAAAUAACUUUGUAUAGAAUUAUGUAUUUUAUCAAGAUGAUUCUAUUUAAGACAAAUUCAAUAUAUCUUUAUGAUAAUCUUUCUUGCAUCUUUUAACCCUUUUUCUUAGAGACUGCUAUUUUCUUCCAGAAAAUAAAUGGAGUCUUAGUAGAAUGUAUGAUAAUAGGAAAUAAUUGGAAUGAAGUGAAUAUAUUUUAAACAACAGUGAUUUUUAUUUUAACACAUCCAAGAAAUAAAAAGUAUGAAGUAAAGAGUAGGAGAGAAAAUGAGGAUACUGGAAAAGACACCAGUAGAGGCAAGAAGGCAUAGAAGGAAUCUGUGGAAAUUUGACCUUCAGAGUGAUGACCUAAGGUAUCCAGUGGAAGGAAUGCCUAAGCCACAAAGUGUUCAAGAUAUGUCCUGGCUUCUUCUAACAGUCUAUACUCAGAGGAAGGAGCAAAGAAAUGGCUUAAAGUUGGAACUUAUACUUACACAGGGAGCAGAGCAUAAAAGUUUGGAAAAUCUGCAGCCUGGCCAUCUGGUAAAGAAAGAAAUGCUUUUUCAGGAGAGGAUUUCAAGCAGGCUGUGGAGCAACCAUGUGCUAGAUAAAUUUGUAUAAAUAAAAAGCAGACCAAUCCUGAUAGCCAAGACAAUGGGAAAAGGCCUGAAAGGCAUUUCGGAGAUCUUUGAGGCAGCCCCUCCCAUCACAGGCCCAGAGAUCCAGGAGGACUGAAUGGUUUUGGGGCCCAGGCCUGGGGCACCACUGUCCUGCACCAUCCCAGGAGUUUUAUCCUUGCGUCCUGGCAACUCUGGCUCCAGCCUCAGGCCAAAGGGGCCCAUGUACAGCCUGGGCUGCUGCUUCAGAGGGUACAAGUCGUAAGCCACAUGGUGUUAAGCUUAUAGGUGCACAAAGUGAAUGAGGCUUGGCAGUCUCUGCCUAGAUUUCAGAGGAUGUAUAAGAAAGCCUGGGUGCCCAGGCAGAAACCUGCUGUAGGGGCAGAGUCCUCACAGAAAGCCUCUACUAAGGCAUUAUGGAGGGAAAAUGUGGGAUUGAGGGCACUGCCUAGUAGAGCUGUCAGAGGAGGCCAGCACCCUCCAGUACCCAGAAUAGUAGAUCUACUGGAAGCUUUCACUCUGUGCCUUGAAAAGCCACAGGCAUUCAACAACCUGUGAGAGCAGCCAUGGGGACUGAACCCUGCAGAGACACAGGAGCACGGGCUGCCCAAUGUCUUGGGAAGCCACCCCUUGAAUCAGUGUGCUCUAAUGUGGGACAUGAAGUUAAAGGAGAUUAUUUUGGAGCUUUAAGAUUAAAUGACUGCCCUGAUGGGUGUAGGACUUGCUUGGAUCCUUUCUUUGCUCCUUUCUUUGCUCCUUUCUUUUAGCCGAUUUCUCCCUUUUGAAAUGGAAAUGUUUACCCAAUGCCUGUAAUCCCAUUGUAUCUUGAAAAUAAAUAACUUGCUUAAUUUUAUGGGCUCAUAGGUGAAUGGAGCUCAUCUCCAGAUGAGACUUUGGUCUUCUGGGGGACUGUUGAGAAGACAUGAUUGUAUUUUACAAUGUGAGAAGGACAUAAGAUUUAGGGGGCCAGGGAUGGAAUGAUAUUGUUUGAAUAUGCAUCCCCACCAAUCUCAUGUUGAAUUGUAAUCCCCAAUGCCAGAGGUGGCACCUGGUGGGAGGUGUUUGGGUCAUGAGGGAAGAACCCUCAUGAAUUGGUGUUGUCCUUGUGAUAGUGAGUGAGAUUUUGUGAAAGCUGGUUAAGUGUAUGGCACCCACCACUCAACUCCCUCUCUUUCUCUUGCUUUUGUCAUGUGAUGUGCCUAUUCCUGCUUCACCUUCUCCCAUGAAUAAAAGCUCCCUAAGGCCUCCCCAGAAGCUGAGCAGAUGCCAGCUCCAUGCUUGCACAGCCUGCAGAACCACAAGCCAAUGAAAUAUCUUGUCUUUAUAAAUUACCCAGCCUCAGAUAUUCUUUUAUAUCAAUGCUAGAAUGGCCUAACAUAAUUAUAUCUCUAAGUAUGUAGCAAGUUAUAUAUAUUAAAAUAUACCAACAUUUUUAGGUUUCAUUCAUCUGUGACAUUUAGUAACUUCUUUUACCACCCACUUUCCUAUAUGGUAUGUUAACACUAUUUUUAUAUUGAAUUUAUUUAAAAUUACUGAAAAGUCUAGAAAAACUGCUCAAUAUCUUGCAAAUUGUUCAAGAUAUACAUUACUUGCUUAAUUUCCAUAUCAAUCUUAGGAGAUAAAAUGCGUUAAUAAUGUAGUUUAUAGAUGAUGAUACUGUG
Molecule: long non-coding RNA, 2704 nt
Organism: Papio anubis (olive baboon)
Lineage: Eukaryota; Metazoa; Chordata; Mammalia; Primates; Cercopithecidae
Source: Ensembl